RNAcentral lists this long non-coding RNA (266 nucleotides) under Sorghum bicolor (sorghum). RNAcentral describes it as "long non-coding RNA (SBIC_LNC014198)". The record is from RNAcentral. Lineage: Eukaryota; Viridiplantae; Streptophyta; Magnoliopsida; Poales; Poaceae.
CCACUUAAAAAAAAUGAUAGCCCAUGGUCCCUCUAAUAAGCAAUAUGCCAGCAAGAGUUGACAAAGUUUUUAAUUUCUAAAGUCUUUGAUCUAAGAGUAUGACAUUCCCCUCCUCGGAUCCCGUUUUGAUCAAGCAAUAAAUGCAAAGUAAGAAUGCUUGAGAAUUUUUGCAAAAUUAAAACAGCCUCAGUGAGAUAUAUAAAAGAUAAUGAGUGAUCUGAGAGAACCUAUGAGGAUAAAAAGGUAUGCUAACUUUCUUUCAAAAA